CGAAAACAACAGAUCACAGCGAUCCUUCCUUUCGAGAAGACAUCUUCCAGCUUAAGGGAUAUUUAUCUUCGGCUCAUUUCUCUACUAUAAAAGCUCGAAGCUUUUGCCUUGUUUACAACAUUCGCUGAUCAACUACCGCACAAGUCCCAUCGCCUUUUAUUUCUCGCAAAACUCGCAUGAAAAUGGUAUCCACCCGCCUUGUUCUCGCCAUGGUUGCUGUCCUCUUCAUCCUCGCCAUCAGCGUAGAUGCCGCUUACAGAAAGCCUCCUUUCAAUGGAAGCAUUUUCGGCAAGCGAUCCAACACCA
Molecule: RNA transcript, 306 nt
Organism: Apis cerana (Asiatic honeybee)
Lineage: Eukaryota; Metazoa; Arthropoda; Insecta; Hymenoptera; Apidae
Source: RefSeq, a predicted model, not a curated record